AUUUAAAUAGUUUAAAAAAAUUUCAGUUUGUGGGGCUGAAGAUGAAUAUAAAAUUCUUUAAAUU
RNAcentral lists this transfer RNA (64 nucleotides) under Orancistrocerus aterrimus. RNAcentral's name for it is "tRNA-His". Lineage: Eukaryota; Metazoa; Arthropoda; Insecta; Hymenoptera; Vespidae. The record is from RNAcentral.